This is a long non-coding RNA of Bombus impatiens (common eastern bumble bee), 3658 nucleotides long. RefSeq lists it as uncharacterized. NCBI's taxonomy places the organism in Eukaryota, Metazoa, Arthropoda, Insecta, Hymenoptera, Apidae. The record is from RefSeq and is a predicted model, not a curated record. The transcript has 2 exons.
CGAGAGCAAUAGAAUCUACGAAACAAUGGUUGCUGCGUGUCCCUUACUUUUCUCUUAUCUUUACCGUUUACCGAGUAAAAGCAGGUAACAGCGCGGUAUCCUUUGUUACUGGCAACGGAGACGAGAGGAAACAGGGAGAAAAAUUGGAGGAACGAGAACCAACGACUUUCUAUCGAGUCAACAGCUUAUCGUCUCUCCUGUUUCGUACCAUUCGUACGCGCGAAAAACUCCGUUUAUUCGGACGUAUUCCUUUAUCACGAUUUUUUGGUAAUUUUAACAAGGAACUCGUUGAAUACGUUUCUUUCUUCCGUCGAGAUUAAGCACUCGAUAUAAUUGAGUUUCAAGGUUGCGACGCUCUUCUCACGCUUGUUCAAGCAACGUGCAACAUCGACGAAACUCGUAGUUGCUUCUCAGCGGGCAGCUAAUUUAACGCUUAACCCGAUGAAUAAGUGCGUAAACUGUCGCGAUAAAUCCUGCAAACAAUCGAACAACCUCGAAAACGCGCUCUUCAACGUUCAAACAUCCUGAACGUUGCCUAGUUCUCUGGAAGCACAACGAGCAACGUUUCAACAAAGAGUACAUAGGCGUAAGCCUGGCACCUCGUAAUUGGCGCUCAGUCGUACGAUCUACGAUCGCGAUGUUCGCACGCGAUAACGAUAAAUCUCGAGGAAAUAAGGUAGAAUUGGAGGCAGGGUUAACCGAGAGAGAGAAAGAGAGAGAGAGAGAGAGAGAGAGAGAGAGAGAAAGAAUGUCAUGGCACGCAUGAGUCUUAUGAAUUCUUUCACAAAACGAACAGGCCUGUCGCGCGCAGCCCGCAGGAGCGUAACAACGGUCUGCUCUUUCGUAAAUUAUUUUCUGUAGCUCUGUGGAUGUAGCGAAAAGAGAGAAAGAGACGGAGGUGGAGGACAGUUAAAAAGAAGGCGAAAAUCGGAGUACAAACAGAAUCGGAUGAGAGGUGGACUAAGGGAAUCGAGGGGCAAGGGUUUCCACGAGUGUUUAGCCUUGACAUUCGCCUCCCACAUCCUGUCAGCCGAACAGUGGUUCUCAUAUCAAGUCGAUAAUCGCGCCCAAUUGCUUCUCCUGCGAGCAAAUUUUGUCGACGUUGGAAUUUUCUAGCGAAUUGCAAGAAUUAUCGUCUCGUGCUAUUGUUAUAUCGUUCUGCGAAACGUCCCUGUCGUGUUCGAUGGCUUGGCAUGGCUUCCCUUUUCCAAUUCCUGUGUCGUUUUAUGGCAUGGAAUAAAGAGCACGUUAUUUUUUAUGGAAUCGAUUGUUCGAGGUAUGUAUUUUGGUAGAAGCGGUGUUUCCCUGGGUGGAGAGAACGUAGGUACGAAAUAAUUCAACCAUGAAACUCCGUUGUCGCAUUGUAAAUUGUUAUGGCGAUGCUGUUUGGUUAGUUUACGAAGAAUCUGAACAUUUUGUUUGUUUUAAACGUGUAAAUGUACGUAAAUGAGAACUGAUGGCAAUAAAAUAGAAUAAAAAGCAAUUUUUCUGCUUGCAGCUAGUCGGCUCAUCUUCCUCGACAAUUUCUUCAUUUGCAUAUUUUUUCUUCUGCGUUUCAGCGUUUCACCUUGACUUCCACCGGACGUUUUCCUCUUUAAAACGCCAGCAAACAUUUAUUCUCGGACGGCAGUUCUUUUCUUUCCAAAAAUGUUAAUAGAAGGAAGAGGAAUUUGCAUUACAACGAUAACAUUUUAAGAGAACGUCCUGUUUAUGAAAUAGUAAACCGCGGAGGCAAGAAAAGAUCUUGGCUGGAACAAAGUUCAGUCUCGGACUUAGUAUCGAGUCUGAAAACAUUCGCGCGCAAACUAUCGGAUAACCUCAAACAUUUCGUUUUGAAAUAUCAACCCUGUCGAUUGGUAUCGUCGAUAGUCAACGUUAUUGCACUUCAUUUCCAAUUAUUAUUUACAUAUAAUAUUAUUAUUAGAAAAUAUGAUACACGAUAUGUAACACGGAUUAAGACCAACAAAUCUUAGCUAGAAAUAACAUUUCCAAAACGAAUCAUUCGAUUCUCCGGUUCGUUGUCUCCACGUUUCUCGAUCCUCUCGAUUUCUAUUUCGAAAAUACUGAAAAUUUGAUUGCCUUUGCAGGAUAAAUUCCACGUUUCUAAAACGCUGAAAACUCGCUCUUUCUCCUUACGUAAGCCGUUAAAACGUUAAAACCAAACCUUUCUCCUUACAUAAACUGUUAAACGUAAAAAUAAAGAAUCCUAACGCGAUAAAAACAACCUUACGAAUAUACGAGGCAAACAACCGGCAAGUAGCAAGAAAAACAAAAAAAAAAAAAGAAAAAAGAAGCUGGUUGAAUAAUUACGAGGAUAGAAACGAGCAAGAUCCUCUCGAGAAACGACAAAUAAAAAAUCUCGAUUUAGAAAACAUCCGGCAACGAGAGCGAAUUAAGAACGAAUCGCGCAACGAAACACGAUCGCGAUUUCGUGGAAGAACGGUACUUUUCAGCUUGAACGUGGCCGGUCCUUAAAAGAAAACGUGCCAAGGACAGCAGCGAUCAACGACGAUUCUCUCUCUCGCUCCUUCUCUUCUCGUCUCUUGGUGGUCGAGAUCGGUCGUUUAUUAAUUUACAUGCGGACUCGGCCGAAGGCGCCAGCCGGAUGGAGAACCGGAGGAGGAUCGACGACGAUGACGCGUUUAGUCGUUGCACUACCACGCUUCUGCUCUUCCGAGUUGCUCGCCUAUAAACACCGACGUUAUCGUCGAACAAUAAAAUCAAAAUCGAACAAGGAUUGUUUCGUCCUUUUGUCCACUGCAUGUGCGCUCUGCGUCGGUAUAAGACAGCGGACUUCAAAACGAACCAACUUCUUCUCGCCUGACUGCGAUACAAUUUCGGUCGUGGAAAAUAGCCAGCCAUUGGAAAACUGUUUUUUAAAAGCAUUGUUUAUCCGACGACGCGGCGAGUUCGUGGAAUCGAGCGUUUUCUAUGGAAAAUCUCGACUCGCGGUGUGUCCGGCGCAACACAUGCUCCGAGUCGUUUAUUUCCUGGCAGCUUCUGAAAUUUAUUCAUUCACCUAACGAACGUCUUGGUACGAGCUAUGAAUAGGUAAGGGCCGGUGCUUAAGAGGCCAGAAACAAAUCGUCCCUGCCACCUCUUGCCUCCUCUUCGCCCUCUCGAGUCCUUCCACGGAAGAUGGAGAGAAAAAAGAAAGGAAGCCGAAGAAGAAAAGAAAAAAACAAAAGAUAGAAGUGGCCACGAUUCAUAUUGUAAUUUCGAAAGCAGGAUCCAUUUAUCUUGCAGGGGCGAGGGAAUUUUUACAGGAGAUUCGUUAUCCUCCGCCGUCCGGGAAUAGCAGCGGCGCGGAGGAAGAGGCAGGAGAGAAGAAAUAAAAUGGAAAAAAGAAGAGAAGAGAGAACGAAGAGACGGGGAGGGAGGAGAUCGGCGAUGAAGAAAGAAAGAAACGGCGGUGCUGCUCAUCGACUCGUGACCACAAUGAACCGUUUCCGUGAUAAUAAAACUAAACGUUGUUUAAUUUGUAUGGAGAGGCCUUGCAGCUCUUUUGUCCCGGUUGUUCCGUGGCUUUUGUGAAACGCUCGAAUACCUCGCGCUACGUUACGGUAUAAAAAUAGUGGAUAAAUCAAAAGGACAGGCAGAAAUAGAUACGACAUUGUUAAAGCCAUGUACAAAACCUAUAAAACGUAAAUUGUACGAU